Paramuricea clavata is the source of this 721-nucleotide non-coding RNA. NCBI's taxonomy places the organism in Eukaryota, Metazoa, Cnidaria, Anthozoa, Malacalcyonacea, Plexauridae. The record is from the annotation of a GenBank genome assembly.
CACGUCCGCUCGCCAUGCCUGACUAAUUAAACUUAAUUAAAAUUAACUUCUAUCCGUCAUUCCCCCUUUCUCUCUUUCCUCCUUCCUUAUCCCCUCUUUCUCCUUGCGUCCCUUCCUCCUUCUUUCCAUCAGUCAUCCCUUCCUCUCACUCUUUCCUUCUUAUUAUCCGUCUACCCUUUCUUCGUUCCUUCCAUCAUCUCCAUCUUACUCCCUCCCUUAACGCCUUCAAUCUAUCUUCAACUCUCUAAUUUUACCUUUCUUUCUUCUCAAUACGUCUUCCUCACUCCUUCACAUAUCUCCGCAUUCGCAUUCGAUCCUCAUACGAAAUAUUUUUCCACUUCAGGCUUUGCAACCGUCUUUGCUGUAAGAAGAAGAAGAAGCAGAAAACAAAUCCAUCCAAGCUCUGGGACUUACAAUGAAGACACUGCUUGCUCAAAAUUUUCCUGUGAAAAUGUGAUCAUCGCUAUUCUCGAUGAGUAUACGUUGCAGAAAAGAUCAUUUGUCGUUGAAAGGCAAGACGUCCAUCUCUCUUUAUUACCCUGCGAGAAGUUGCAGAAAUAGUUACCAAGUUUGCUAGCGUGUUGUAGCAACUAGGGCUUGGCAUCCACACAAAUUAACUUUUUCCAAGAUAGUUAAAUAAUUCAUGUAUAUUUGUACAGAUUUCCAUUCUAUAACUUACUGAACUUUUAUUAUCUGUAUUAUGAAAUUUGUUGCAGUACAU